AUCCAGCAAUGCCGCGUGCAGGAUGAAGGCCUUCGGGUUGUAAACUGCUUUUGUACGGAACGAAAAGCUUCGGGCUAAUACCCUGGAGUCAUGACGGUACCGUAAGAAUAAGCACCGGCUAACUACGUGCCAGCAGCCGCGGUAAUACGUAGGGUGCAAGCGUUAAUCGGAAUUACUGGGCGUAAAGCGUGCGCAGGCGGUUUUGUAAGACAGAGGUGAAAUCCCCGGGCUCAACCUGGGAACUGCCUUUGUGACUGCAAGGCUAGAGUACGGCAGAGGGGGGUGGAAUUCCGCGUGUAGCAGUGAAAUGCGUAGAUAUGCGGAGGAACACCGAUGGCGAAGGCAACCCCCUGGGCCUGUACUGACGCUCAUGCACGAAAGCGUGGGGAGCAAACAGGAUUAGAUACCCUG
This 411-nucleotide ribosomal RNA is filed under the name Comamonas kerstersii. RNAcentral describes it as "bacterial SSU rRNA". It matches the Rfam family "Bacterial small subunit ribosomal RNA", at positions 386 to 789 of the family's 1533-position model. The record is from RNAcentral. Lineage: Bacteria; Pseudomonadati; Pseudomonadota; Betaproteobacteria; Burkholderiales; Comamonadaceae.